This is a long non-coding RNA of Talpa occidentalis (Iberian mole), 377 nucleotides long. RefSeq lists it as uncharacterized. Lineage: Eukaryota; Metazoa; Chordata; Mammalia; Eulipotyphla; Talpidae. The transcript is spliced from 3 exons. The record is from RefSeq and is a predicted model, not a curated record.
UUCAGCUCGCCCACUGAACUUCUGAAAGAUGCACAGGCUAGAAUGAGUACAAGUAAACUGGAAAUUCACUUUGCCUUCGUGCCUUUGCAGAGGGUGAUGGGGAGCCCGAGGUGGGGAGCUUAAAAGGAGGGGCUGCAGGAGGCACUGGUGCCCGCUAGUGGGCCGUGUAGCGGGGUGGGGCUUCGCGGCGAGCAGAGGGCCCCGGUGGGGGAGCCCACCGUCGUCUUUUUACGCCUCGGCGCUCCACGGGAAACCAGGAUGAAUUCGCUCCAGACACUGGUGCUCAGAAGGCCUUUCUUUCCUUUGCCUAUCUACACACUGAUUUGGAUGUUGGCAGUGAUGAGGCUGUGCAAGACACAAGUGUUCACUGAAAAUAA